UUUAGAAAUGAGGCUCUAGGGCAUACUACUUGAAAGGAAUAUGUGCAUCUUUUUAUAUCAUCUUUGCUCUGUCAACCAGCUUUUGUUUAAUAUUUUGGUGAUGAGAAAUUCACUGCUUAUGAACUAGACCAUUCUUUUUGCUUAUUUAUCAUGUCAAAACAGAGAAGUGAACUUCAACUGUGAUUAUAAAGCACAGUGGAGUGGAGAUUUUUAUUGUAGGAAUUACAAAGCAAAGUACUAAACUGACACUGUAGAUAUCUUAAUGCAAUUCAGACAAUGUGUCCACACAUUCUUCGCUAUUUGACUACAGCAGUCAUAACAAACAAGGAUGUUCGAAAACGUCGGCAGGUUCUAAAAGAUCUAGUUAAAGUUAUUCAACAGGAGUCUUACACAUAUAAAGACCCAAUUACAGAAUUUGU
This 419-nucleotide small RNA is filed under the name Pongo abelii (Sumatran orangutan). Its description in RNAcentral is "processed transcript". The record is from RNAcentral. Lineage: Eukaryota; Metazoa; Chordata; Mammalia; Primates; Hominidae.